Long non-coding RNA from Scylla paramamosain (green mud crab), 2819 nucleotides. RefSeq lists it as uncharacterized. The record is from RefSeq and is a predicted model, not a curated record. Lineage: Eukaryota; Metazoa; Arthropoda; Malacostraca; Decapoda; Portunidae. The transcript is spliced from 3 exons.
AUACAUAUAUGCAUAAGUGUAAAUAGUGGGUGUUGGCGCAUAAGGGUGGGGCGGAUAUGAUCACGCCACCCUACGUCACACACACACCAUGGAACUUUCCAUACUCCUUUUAUUGCCAUCGAUAAGUAAUCGGUAGCACCUACAUUACAGUAUCUAAGUAUUCUGCAUAGUUAAUCUCUCUCUAAUGUAUUUUGGCAUGUAUUACUCUUAGCUAUAAGUAGCUUUUCCUUUGCCUUAUUUAUGUAAUUAGAGAGUAAUAAUUAUGAAUAUAUUCAUGUACUGUGAGUGCGGUCAACCCGCCCCUAUUUCUAAUGUCAGCACUUUUUGAAGGCGCUAAGCGUCCCUUGUGCCGGCUCCGGCAGUCUCUUGCCAGGGUGUAACGCUGUACCACGCAGAGGACAUCCGUUGUCCCGUACGCGCCACACCCUUCUCCAGAACUCUGUACAUAUAUCUAAAUAUACCUAUUUUUAUACGUUCACCUUUGACAUUCACCUGAAAACCACAGAAACUCACCAAGAGUGACUUUACCUAUUAUAUAAAGUGUUGCCACGGUGACGGCGGUGGUGGGCAUGAUACAGAUGCGGGAGGUGGAGUUUGUGCCCGAUGGAGACAUGCAGCUGGACAAAUUCUGUUGCUCAUUGCUCAGACUGGAGUUUACAUGUAUACCUCCUUCACCAUCAUUGGUGGACACUUCACCAUGAGUGAUGCUUGAGCUGUCAUGGUGCUGCUGCUGUUGUCUGCCAUCAUCCACCUGACACAGACCACCCUGCAGACACCUUCAUCCUGGGUGCCACACGUCACUGCUGCUACAACUCAGAGCAACUGGAGCGCAAACCAGGAAGGGAAAUGGUAACUUCUCACUUAAUUUGUUGUUUAUUUGAGGGCCUAAUGACAAAGACAUAAUGGAAUGAGUAUUUGUGAAUGUUUGUUUAUAUCUAGAUACAGCAUUCACAUAUCUUAAGUGCCACCUUCCAAAAGCAAUGUCAGCCAGAAAAAUAAGUGAUCAAUCUAAUUACAUUUCAAGUCAAAAAGUUUUCCUUUAACCACUUUGCUCCAGAUGCUUAAAAACAUGCGUUGCUCACAUACAUGGCGUCACCUAGGCUCGUCACUGGUAACUUAUCUAAUUUCUAAUAAUUUCUAAUAUAAUUUCUGUGUGUGUGUGUGUGUGUGUGUGUGUGUGUGUGUGUGUGUGUGUGUGUGUGUGUGUGUGUGUGUGUGUGUGUGUGUGUGUGCUGAUGCGGCUGAGAAGGUUGCCUUAUGAUAAUUAUUGACAAAUGAAGGUAAUGGAUGCACAUGUCAUUAAUACUUUUUUAUGUGUGUGUGUAUGUGUGUGUGUUAUGUAUACACACAAACACAAACACACACACACAAACGCACAAAGAGAAGUAAUAGACACGCAUCCUUUACCUUCAUUCAUCAAUAAUUGCCAUAAGACGACCUUCCCAGCUGCAUCACUACACACACACACACACACACACACACACACACACACACACACACACACACACACAGAACACACACACACAGAACACACACACACACUUACACAUCAUGUAGUGUAGUGGUUAGCACGCUCGGCUCACAACCAACAAGGCCCGGGUUCGAAUGCCGGGCACGGUGAAGCAGAUGGACAAGCCUCUUAAUGUGUAGCCCCUGUUCACCUAGCAGCAACUAGGUACAGGAUGUAACCCGAGGUGAUGUGACUUCGCUGCCCCAGUGUGUGGUGUGUCAUUGGCCUCAGUCCUACCCAAAGAUCAGUCACCAUGAGCUCUGAGCUCUUACACACACACACACACACACACACACACACACACACACACACACACACACACACACAGAGAGAGAGAGAGAGAGAGAGAGAGAGAGAGAGAGAGAGAGAGAGAGAGAGAGAGAGAGAGAGAGAGAGAGAGAGAGAGAGAGAGAGAGGGCAAUGAAUGAAACAGGGAGGAAGGGGAACUGUGUGUGAAUGAAAACAUCAUCUACGUGAAACAUUUGAUUGAUUAUAAAGCACAUGUGCAUCAUAUAUAGUCAUGAAUGUGGAGGAACAGCGGAGUGAGUGAUCAACCACAGAAAGGAGGAGAGAGUUGGACAUGCAGAGAGAAUGGAAGGUGAACAAUUUGAGAAGAUAAGCAUGCAAAUACAUAAAUAUAAGGUGGAAUAACAGUGUUUGGUGGGAAGAUGAAAGAGAGAUGCCUGUUUAUGAAGCAAAAUGGUUGUGCAAGAGAGGAAUGAUUGGAAAACCAUUCCCACCAUAGCCAACAGACCUUACACCAUAUUUUUACAAACCACAGCAUCUCUAUUCAUCCAUUCUGUGUGUCUUCUCUUCUCUCUCUCUCUCUCUCUCCACUCUUAAUGCUGUUGUGGGUCUCUGGGCUGGAGUACAUCACAGAAAGAUUGACACCAACUUAUAUAUGAGAGGAUGUUGUCUGUAACUAUGCUAUGGGGACAUUGCAAGUUUGUGGGCUGUAGUCAAUGAAUAAGUGUGUCCUCUAUAGCAUACUUAAAAACCACACUCUCACAUGGAAAUCAAUCUCUCUCUCUCUCUCUCUCUCUCUCUCUCUCUCUCUCUCUCUCUCUCUCUCUCUCUCUCUCUCUCUCUCUCUCUCUCUCUCUCUCUCUCUCUCUCUCUCUCUCUCUCUCUCUCUCUCUCUCUCUCUCUCUCUCUCUCUCUCUCUCUCUCUCUCUCUCUCUCUCUCUCUCUCUCUCUCUCUCUCUCUCUCUCUCUCUCUCUUUCUUUCUUUCUUUUGUUGCAUAUUUUACUCCUUUACAUUCUUCCCUACAGUAUUUUUUCGUCUACUUUAUGACUGGAGUCGUUUUAU